This 565-nucleotide ribosomal RNA is filed under the name uncultured bacterium. Its description in RNAcentral is "partial 16S ribosomal RNA". It matches the Rfam family "Bacterial small subunit ribosomal RNA", at positions 355 to 913 of the family's 1533-position model. The record is from RNAcentral.
UGGGGAAUUUUGGACAAUGGGGGAAACCCUGAUCCAGCCAUCCCGCGUGUGCGAUGAAGGCCUUCGGGUUGUAAAGCACUUUUGGCAGGAAAGAAACGUCGCGGGUUAAUACCCCGCGAAACUGACGGUACCUGCAGAAUAAGCACCGGCUAACUACGUGCCAGCAGCCGCGGUAAUACGUAGGGUGCAAGCGUUAAUCGGAAUUACUGGGCGUAAAGCGUGCGCAGGCGGUUCGGAAAGAAAGAUGUGAGAUCCCAGAGCUUAACUUUGGAACUGCAUUUUUAACUACCGGGCUAGAGUGUGUCAGAGGGAGGUGGAAUUCCGCGUGUAGCAGUGAAAUGCGUAGAUAUGCGGAGGAACACCGAUGGCGAAGGCAGCCUCCUGGGAUAACACUGACGCUCAUGCACGAAAGCGUGGGGAGCAAACAGGAUUAGAUACCCUGGUAGUCCACGCCCUAAACGAUGUCAACUAGCUGUUGGGGCCUUCGGGCCUUGGUAGCGCAGCUAACGCGUGAAGUUGACCGCCUGGGGAGUACGGUCGCAAGAUUAAAACUCAAAGGAAUUGG